RNAcentral lists this ribosomal RNA (253 nucleotides) under Pseudobdellovibrionaceae bacterium. RNAcentral describes it as "partial 16S ribosomal RNA". It matches the Rfam family "Bacterial small subunit ribosomal RNA", at positions 524 to 776 of the family's 1533-position model. RNAcentral also lists the same sequence under 2 other names. The record is from RNAcentral. Lineage: Bacteria; Pseudomonadati; Bdellovibrionota; Bdellovibrionia; Bdellovibrionales; Pseudobdellovibrionaceae.
UACGAAGGGGGCUAGCGUUGCUCGGAUUUACUGGGCGUAAAGGGAGCGUAGGCGGAACGACAAGUCAGGGGUGAAAGCCCGGGGCUCAACCUCGGAAUUGCCCUUGAGACUGUCGAUCUAGAGUUUGGGAGAGGUGUGUGGAACUCCGAGUGUAGAGGUGAAAUUCGUAGAUAUUCGGAAGAACACCAGUGGCGAAGGCGACACACUGGCCCAAUACUGACGCUGAGGCUCGAAAGCGUGGGGAGCAAACAGG